RNAcentral lists this ribosomal RNA (497 nucleotides) under uncultured bacterium. RNAcentral's name for it is "partial 16S ribosomal RNA". It matches the Rfam family "Bacterial small subunit ribosomal RNA", at positions 28 to 507 of the family's 1533-position model. The record is from RNAcentral.
GAUGAACGCUGGCGGCGUGCCUAAUACAUGCAAGUCGAGCGCUAAAGGUUGGUACUUGUACCUACUGGAUGAGCAGCGAACGGGUGCGUAACGCGUGCGGACUCUGCCGUUGAGCGGGGGACAACAUAUGGACACGAAUGAUCAUACCGCAUCAGAACUUCACACACACGUUUUAAGUUAGAAAGAUGCAAUUGCAUCUCCCAACGACGUUUUCGCGUUGUAUUAGCUGGUUGGUGCGGGAAAGGCUCACCAAGGCGAUGGUACAUAGCCGACCUGAGAGGUGGAACGGCCACGGUGGGACUGGGACACGGCCCAAAAGCCGACGGGGAGCAGCCGUAGGGAAUCUUCGGAAAUAGACGAAAGGCUGACCGGGCAACGCCGGGUGAGUGGAGAAGGUUUUCGGAUCGUAAAACUCUGUUGGUAGGGAAGAACGAGGGUGAGAGUGAAAAACGCAUAAAGUGACGGUAACUACACAGAAAGGGACGGCUAACUACGUG